Molecule: ribosomal RNA, 259 nt
Filed under: uncultured bacterium
Lineage: Bacteria
Description: partial 16S ribosomal RNA
Rfam family: Bacterial small subunit ribosomal RNA
Source: RNAcentral
UACGUAGGAGACGAGCGUUGUCCGGAGUUACUGGGCGUAAAGGGUGCGCAGGUGGCGGCGCGCGUGGGGGGUGAAAUCGCCCGGCUUAACUGGGCGGGGGCCUUCCAGACGGCGUGGCUUGAGCAGCGGAGGGGGACGUGGGAAUUCCGGGUGGAGCGGUGAAAUGCGUAGAGAUCCGGAGGAACACCGACGGCGCAAGGCAGCGUCCUGGGCCGCUUGCUGACACUGAGGCACGAAAGCCGUGGGGGAGCAAACAGGG